UAAUACAGAGGGUGCGAGCGUUGUUCGGAAUUACUGGGCGUAAAGCGCGCGCAGGCGGAUCCUGCAAGUCCGGAGUGAAAUCUCACCGCUCAACGGUGAGGCUGCUUUGGAUACUGCGGAUCUGGAGACCGGUAGAGGCUGGUAGAAUUGCAGGUGUAGCGGUGGAAUGCGUAGAGAUCUGCAAGAAUACCCGUGGCGAAGGCGGCCAGCUGGGCCGGUUCUGACGCUGAGGCGCGAAAGCGUGGGGAGCAAACAGGAUUAGAUACCCUGGUAGUCCACGCCGUAAACGAUGGGCACUAGGUGCUGGGGGGAGCGACCCCGUCAGUGCCGUAGCUAACGCGAUAAGUGCCCCGCCUGGGGAGUACGGCCGCAAGGCUG
RNAcentral lists this ribosomal RNA (378 nucleotides) under uncultured bacterium. Its description in RNAcentral is "bacterial SSU rRNA". It matches the Rfam family "Bacterial small subunit ribosomal RNA", at positions 521 to 896 of the family's 1533-position model. The record is from RNAcentral.